UAAUUGUUAACCAAAAAAAAUGACAAACUCCGUACGUCUGGUUGUUACAUAUGUAUGCAAGGAUUCUCUUUCCACCAUUUACAAUAAAAUUAAUUUAUGUAUAGCCUACUUAAGAUGCCCACUACAGAGUUAAAAAUUGCAAUUGAGUAGUCAAAGUUCUUUUUGCUUGGUUAUGAUUAUAUCAGUAUUCUUCCUGUUUCUAGAGAUAUCAUAAUAGUAUUAUUCAAGUAUAAUAUGUAGAUAUUUUUUAAUGCAAGAAGUUAUUGUGUUUUUAAAUUUUAUGGUUGGCUCUCAUUGAAUAAGCUCCUGAAGUUGUGGUAGUUGUUUUGCAUAAGGUUAUCUAGACUAUCAAUGGAUUACAAUAAGCUCCUAAAGUUGUGGUAGUUGUUUCGCAUAUCCAUUGAUUACUGAAAAGGAUAUGCACAAUAUAUUAUCCACGGUAAUCAUGAUGAGUAAGAUGAUCUUAUCACACAUCUCGAAAGGACCAGCCUUAGUUUGUAGCUUGUGGUUUACCUUCAUUUUUAAAUAGUUGGCAGUGUUAUGAAACUAGGAGUCGUCAGUUUUAUGUACAUGCGAUCUACUUAGUGGUGUUUAAGUUGUUUGUUAUGCCUUGCUUUAUGUUCUGUUUCUCUUAGUUAUGUUUUAAGAUUUUUGACUAGCUAAUUAUUUUUAUUGAUCAUGUAAAUUUGUUUGUCGAUAUUUCUUUUGAUUAUUAAGUACGUAUUCUACAUUUAUUUUAGUUAGUGAUUGAUAUUUUAUUCUAUAUAUAUUUCAGGCUAAGAACUUGGCAAAUUGGGUGUAAGUAUUACCUCUUAGAUUUGAAGAUCAUUUAUUGUAUUAACACAUAACCAAAGUUGCAAUACCUUUUGGGUGGGAAUUUAAAUGUUACUGAUAAUGCUCUAUUGUGAAUCAUAGGAAGUUGAUUGAUGCUUACCGUUUAUGGUUACUUGAAGUAGAAAGGGGAAAUGCACAAUAGUAAAAGGAUGAACGCUGACAUACCAAUUUCAAAUCGUCGAGGCUCGACUGGAAAAAGAUGGCAUUGCAACAAGAUGUAUUAGGGGAAACAUGAGGUUGAAAAACAGAGUUGUUGCAACAUGAUGAGUUGACCUAGUGCUUGUGACUUUAGUGUUCUUUUUUAGAGUAACUAUAUAAGUUAGAGUUUUGACCUCCUGUAAUAUAGUGAAUUGUAUUGAAAUGAAAUUCAAAUAUUUUGUAAAUUUUCUUUUAUUUGCUAUCAUAGUAAAAUAUUACAGAUUGUUCUUAUAUUAUACAUUAUUUUGAAUUUUAUAGAAAUAUCAUUAUGUA
Non-coding RNA from Erythranthe guttata (spotted monkey flower), 1305 nucleotides. The record is from RefSeq and is a predicted model, not a curated record. NCBI's taxonomy places the organism in Eukaryota, Viridiplantae, Streptophyta, Magnoliopsida, Lamiales, Phrymaceae.